GGAGUAAAAGUCGUAACAAGGUUUCCGUAGGUGAACCUGCGGAAGGAUCAUUACCUAGAGUUUGUAGACUUCGGUCUGCUACCUCUUACCCAUGUCUUUUGAGUACCUUCGUUUCCUCGGCGGGUCCGCCCGCCGAUUGGACAACAUUCAAACCCUUUGCAGUUGCAAUCAGCGUCUGAAAAAACAUAAUAGUUACAACUUUCAACAACGGAUCUCUUGGUUCUG
RNAcentral lists this unclassified non-coding RNA (225 nucleotides) under plant metagenome. RNAcentral describes it as "partial contains small subunit ribosomal RNA, internal transcribed spacer 1, and 5.8S ribosomal RNA". The stretch from base 1 to 53 matches the Rfam family "Eukaryotic small subunit ribosomal RNA", at positions 1779 to 1831 of the family's 1831-position model. The record is from RNAcentral.